Molecule: long non-coding RNA, 1529 nt
Filed under: Hordeum vulgare
Lineage: Eukaryota; Viridiplantae; Streptophyta; Magnoliopsida; Poales; Poaceae
Description: long non-coding RNA (HVUL_LNC004814)
Source: RNAcentral
UGAGAUCCCGCUUGGAAGAAGAACAACUCCGAGAUGUCGACGAACCAACGUAGUCGAACGAGUCCUCACAUUCCGACACGCUUGCGGAACUCUAUCGAGACGGAGCAAACCGGAAACAAACAUCAACACAAAUAUUCACCACACGAUGCACAACAUGAUGCAUAACCUACUAUGAUGCAUGAUCAGUUCAAAGAUGCAAGGGAUGGCAUGGCAAUUCACCUCACACAAACACUACACAUUAAGUGAAGCUCGAUAUGCAACGGGUUGCAUAUCGAUAAAACUCCACAAUUGAUUAUUUAGUUCACUCCCGAUUAUUUACACGGCAAUAUUAAAUUGUAGUUAACAUGACAAGGGUGAAGCGACGUUCCUACAUGACAUCCUAGUCGGUUAACACGCGGAGCAUAGAACGGAGCUACGGUUAAAUAUCUACGACCUAAACCGUUUAACACGAUGACACACAAACCGAUGCAAACAACAUGCUAAACAGUUUUAAAUAUGCAUGAGACUUGAAAAAAAUAUGAAUCUACGUGAAAUUCUAGCCAUGUUACAUAUAUAACUUCUCGCAAUCCGACGCACGUAUUAAAAGUUACGCGGGUUUUUUUCAAAAUCAUGCAAUUUUUUUCUAAAUUACCAAAUUCGCAGAGCGGAAAAAAAAUGAACAUAGGUCGAAUUGCAACUUGGAGUGGCCCACUAGUGGAUUUAGCCCAAGCGGAUGUGCACACACAAGAAUAAAAUGGAGGCUUCACUAGGAUUCGAUCCCAUGACCUCUUUAGGGGAGAGGAAGGCACCAGCCAGUCGAGCUACGAAGCAUCUGUGAAAGGAUAUGGGUUUUAGUCUAUAUGAAGGAGCAUAAGGGGCCAACCUGAACCAAAAACAAAACAAUCUUUAGGGGAGAGGAAGGCACCAGCCAGUCGAGCUACGAAGCAUCUGUGAAAGGAUAUGGGUUUUAGUCUAUAUGAAGGAGCAUAAGGGGCCAACCUGAACCAAAAACAAAACAAAAAUAGGGGUUCCUGUGAUUCGAACCCUAGACUUCACGAUUGCAAACCCACACGCUAACCAACUAGGCCACCACGAAAUUAUGAAAAACCAUGAGAAGUUCGCUAGAUGAAAGGGCCAUGUUGCUGACUGCAUAAAACUGAAUCUGGAAAGCGUAGUUGCUUCAAGCGAACCUGUCAGGUUCAGACUUGGCAGAACUGACGGCGAUGCACAGGAUUGCACGGCUGGAUCCAUGGGGUGGCUUGGGGACGACGCGGGGUUGGGGUUGCGGUCGCGAUGUAGCAUGUCCAGGCACUGGAAGAUAAGCAAACGAGGAGACAUCGAGGGUAGCGUGGGUCAACGGUGCAGGGAAGACAAAGGCCAUUGCGCUGGACCUGCAGAUGACGUCGACGGCACCCAAUGAUGGAGAAGGACGAAUCCUGGUGGAAUGGACAGUUACGGGCAUGAGGAGUCCAAUCCCGAUGACGAGGGCCUUCUGGGUGGCACGGACGGCAAGCUCCAUGGGCGGCGGCGGAGGGUUUUCCGUUCUGCUC